This 260-nucleotide long non-coding RNA is filed under the name Zalophus californianus (California sea lion). RNAcentral describes it as "lncRNA (ENSZCAG00015022841.1)". Lineage: Eukaryota; Metazoa; Chordata; Mammalia; Carnivora; Otariidae. The record is from RNAcentral.
UGGGUUGGUGCGGCGAGUGUGUGGUAGAGCCUUCUUCUCCUCAGUGAUGAGGGAACAUGGCGGCAGCUCCCACAUACAAUCGUAACAGCAUCUGGUUUCGCUAUUUCCACCUGGGCUGAGAAGUGCCUGCCUGUCUUCGAAUCCUUGUGGAGGACAUCCUUCCUCACCUGCCCCAGCACCGUCAUCUUUGUGGCAGAUAACUGAGAUGAAGGAAAUGAGCACCAAUCAGCUCUUUCUCCACUGGGAAUUCGCUCUUUGUA